This 764-nucleotide ribosomal RNA is filed under the name uncultured Enterobacteriaceae bacterium. Its description in RNAcentral is "bacterial SSU rRNA". It matches the Rfam family "Bacterial small subunit ribosomal RNA", at positions 736 to 1502 of the family's 1533-position model. Lineage: Bacteria; Pseudomonadati; Pseudomonadota; Gammaproteobacteria; Enterobacterales; Enterobacteriaceae. The record is from RNAcentral.
AGUACUGACGCUGAGAUGCGAAAGCGUGGGAGCAAACAGGAUUAGAUACCUGGUAGUCCACGCUGUAAACGAUGUCGAUUUGGAGUUUGUUGCCUAGAGUGAUGGGCUCCGAAGCUAACGCGAUAAAUCGACCGCCUGGGGAGUACGGCCGCAAGGUUAAAACUCAAAUGAAUUGACGGGGGCCCGCACAAGCGGUGGAGCAUGUGGUUUAAUUCGAUGCAACGCGAAGAACCUUACCUGGUCUUGACAUCCAUAGAAUUCUGCAGAGAUGUGGGAGUGCCUUCGGGAACUAUGAGACAGGUGCUGCAUGGCUGUCGUCAGCUCGUGUUGUGAAAUGUUGGGUUAAGUCCCGCAACGAGCGCAACCCUUAUUCUUUGUUGCCAGCGAUUUGGUCGGGAACUCAAAGGAGACUGCCGUUGAUAAAGCGGAGGAAGGUGGGGACGACGUCAAGUCAUCAUGGCCCUUACGACCAGGGCUACACACGUGCUACAAUGGCGUAUACAAAGGGAAGCGAAGGUGCGAGCUGGAGCGGAUCUCAUAAAGUACGUCUAAGUUCGGAUUGGAGUCUGCAACUCGACUCCAUGAAGUCGGAAUCGCUAGUAAUCGUAGAUCAGAAUGCUACGGUGAAUACGUUCCCGGGCCUUGUACACACCGCCCGUCACACCAUGGGAGUGGGUUGCACCAGAAGUAGAUAGCUUAACCGCGAGGGGGGCGUUUACCACGGUGUGAUUCAUGACUGGGGUGAAGUCGUAACAAGGUAACCA